This 332-nucleotide long non-coding RNA is filed under the name Vombatus ursinus (common wombat). RNAcentral's name for it is "lncRNA (ENSVURG00010003159.1)". Lineage: Eukaryota; Metazoa; Chordata; Mammalia; Diprotodontia; Vombatidae. The record is from RNAcentral.
GGGGCCCUCUAGUCCCAACCUCUAGGCUUCUUGGAUAUGGGGAAUGGGCAUCCUGUGAAGGCUAAGAAGUGGGGAGUUGUAACCUCAACCACCAGAACCCGAGGUACAAAAGUCCAGAAAGACUUUGAGGUGGAACAACCCUGGGGCCCACUGACAGUGAUUCAAGGAAGUUCAGCAAUAUUGCCCUGUGUGCUGAUCAAUGAUGUGUUUGAUGGGCAUACCAAGUGGUUCAAGGGAAAAGGAAUGGGCCAGUGGCUCAUAUACAGUGAAAAAGACCACACCUCUGCCAGAGCACAGAGAGUGAACCACUCACGUAGGAACAUGACCAUUCU